UGGGAUAUGUCCCAAAGGGUUCCAGCUCUUUCUAGCUGUGUUGUAGCAAAUACUGUUCUGUGACAUCCUCAUGUUUUAACACUCAAAGUAGCAGCUAGGGAUACAAACACUUGCUUUUGUUUCUGAGCAAGAAAUCGGUGGGUGAGAAGACAGGACUGUAUUUCAGAGCAGUGAAGAGGGCCUCAGAAAGCUCUGCUUUACCUCUGCUGGAUGUAAAGAAGUUGUGAUGCCUCAGAGGUACCACAGAAGGAGCCAGAGCGUGCCCAUAACUUCCGAAAACUCUCUGUUCUUGCGUUUGUUCCACUGUCACAACUCCUAUGCUGUAAGGAGAGCUGAAGCAUGUCUGCAGGGGAGUUUUGGGAGAGAAUGGCUUAUACCAGGUAUUUAGAGUGCACAGUAAUUAAAUUGUAACAGUAAAGAAGUUAGUAAAGGUGAAGUUCAGUAGCUGUCUACUUACUUUUAGCAGAUGUGUGUCUUCGGGUUAAGCCACUGCUUUGGCAUCCUAAAAAAAGCUUUCCAGCAAUGUUGCUUUGGUGACGUUGAUAAUCUUUCUGCAUCUUCUCCCGUAUAUAAAACACAGGCAAACUUCCCUUCUCCUCAGCAGACUUGUUUGGGUCAGGGACUGCCUCUGAGGGUACAAAAAUCAUACCCAGCGCCAUACAGAACUGAUCCCGGAGCUCAGUUCAGCUCUAAGAGUGCCGCUGCAGCAGGAGCAGAUAGCAACAGGAACAUCCAGCCAUGCUGGCCGUGCAAUACUCGCUAACACAGAAGGUGAAGGGAGGCUGUUUACCUGACUGCAGAGCCUGAUUUUGAGUGUUCCUAUAAACAGCUUUCUCAGAAGCCAAGGUGAAAUCUGAUGCUCCAAAAGCAUCUACUAAUAUGUAAUAAUCAAAUUAUUUCUUUUUAAAUUUUAAUGCAAAGGAUUAUAUGUUUUGUACAUUACACAAAUCCAUUAAAAGUACUAGAAUGUAAGUACCAAUCCUUGAUUCUAUUAGGCUUCAAAAUAGAAAUGCUUUGAGUUUUCUUUUGAUUUCUAUUUCAAGUCUUUUCUGAAUUCUGUGGAAGCUUCCCAUAAAAGGGCUUUGUUUUCAGCUGUAGUUCCUGCUUUUCCCCGAGAGCGCAGCGAAGGGGAUGGUUAGGUAUGCCGUCACACUGAGUUGGUCAUGUUAGUAAAUUCUUUUCUAUAAGGAGGUGUCAGAUUGUUCAGCCAGCUGAAGUAAUCCAGUUGGCAGGAGAGUGACUUAAUUCAAUAAGCAGAAUUUAAAAAACACUGUGGUUCUUUGUUUAACAGCCAGAUUCUACAAAAUUAGCUCCAGCUCUGAAAUAAUUCCUCUCCCCACCCUGCCCAUACUAUCCCCCUUCUGUCCUGCAUGUCACUACCUCUUCUCAUUGCCUUGUUUUGUCUGGUACUAUUCAGUGCUGGAGUCGUUCUGCACGUCUCCUAUGGUGAUCUGCUCAGCCCAGAGUCAAGUCAAGGCUCUCGAUUUCAGCUCAGGGAGUGAGGCAGCUGGAAAGGAUACAGGCAUCUUGGUGUUGGGUACUGCUGUCCCACUGUGCAUGCCCUGUGCAGUAAUUCACUUCUCUCUGGAGGGAUUGCCAGGUGUCUAAAAUAAAUCCUCAGCAGGAAUGCAUGACUUGUGCAGGCAGAUGACAGAGGUUGAUCUAAAUCUAUCUGUAGACAUGGCUGGGCAGGGAGGACCCAUGUCCCUUCAGCACUGGGAGGGAAGACUGUACACCCACAGCACACUGCUGGAUUUUACACAGGGAAACUUGUAAACGGUUGAGUUCAGUUAUCUUGAGCAAAGGGCGUGCUUUGACCUGUUAUUGCUGUCACAAUGUGAGCACCCACCACCAGCAAAUCUGGUAGAAGUAAAAAACACUCAGGGAAGAGAAACUGUCUGUGCUACAGUCCUAAGUUUUCUACACUGCUGCUCCUUGCUCCCUGGAAAAUGUGCUUUGCUUUUCUUUUUCUUUUUUUCUUCCCCUUGUCUAUUGGGAUGGAUGAGCAGACAAGUUACCUGCCUGGUGUUGUUGGCAGUUCCUGGUAGGAGUAGGCUCCACUACUGCUCAGAGAUGCUUCUUAACAUAUUCUCUCUCUUUCAUAUUUUGCCUUUCCAGAGUACAGUUUGUUUGUGCACUGCCCAGGUUCAGGGUUGUACAUUUCAUACUGCCAGCAGCCCUGGAGCUUUUUUCCGAAGAUAUUUCUUCCUUUCUCUUCACCUAUGCUCCACUUUGUACCUUUGCUACUUUGAGGAAACCAUCACUGUUGGUUAGUGUUUUUCUUCUUAGAGGAGAAUAUCACUUUGAUCUGUAUUGCUUGAAACCACACAAAGUUUGUUCCAAAGCACAUCCUGCAGAACCAUUCCCCAGGAAAAGGGCUCUGAGACUACUGAUCACAGUUGGCAAGGGUGUUUUCUUCUCUGCAGUCCUCUGCUGGCUUUCUGUCCCUGCAGUGUGUGUCCAGCAGCAACAGCUGGGAAAAUAAAUGGUGAAGAAAGAUAGUGUACAAAAUACCACUCCAUACUGGAUACACAUGUAUGGCAGGCAGCUCCUUGGGAGCAGCAACUGCCUGUUCCAGGUCUUCAUUGCAAACCUGCCCACAAGACACUGUUGGAGGAACAUCCCAGGACAGUGCCAGGGAAGGUGGGGGAACAGCACAGAUCCACAUGCUGUCUGCAAGGGGAGAUGGCUUCAGGACUGCUCUCAUAGCUGUUCUUCCUCUGAAUUCACCUCUUUUUCUUGCUCUCCCUACCCCUGUAGAAAGCAGAAAGGGAUCAGGACAAACUGAAGGGAGUUUUCCUGGUGCUGCCGGCUCUCCCAGGGAUGGUAGGGGAGAGUGGCAUGUAGACCACUGUGUCUGAGUUCACAGACCAGGAGAGCUGUAGGAAGUGUAAAAUGUUUUGCCCAGAUCAGGUUCCUUCUGAGGAGACCUGGAGGAGUGAAGCAGGGUGAAUGGUCAGGCCCAGGGCACAAGUGCUCCAGCAGCAACAUGCAGAGCAAGAGCAAAGCAGCCUGUGCCCUGCAGCACCUGAGCUGUUCCGUCAUUUCAGGGAGGAGGCAGCCAGCCAGGCUUAGUCCCUUCAGAAGAGUACCUGGAGGGGGUCCUGUGGACUUCUAUUCGGAUUCAUGAAUAAUGCAAACACUCCUAAAGGUCAUAUUAAUGGAAAAUUACAAUUUUCCUAUUAGCCCAUGUUUCAAGUCUUGUAAAGAUCACAUGUUCAGAAAUAACACAGAGAAGUAUAUGACCGCCUUAUUUAUGUGCUGCCAAGUUUUACCGCCCUUUUUAUUGAGUGAGCCAUUUUCCUGGCUGAAUAUGGUACCACUGACUGUAAGUAUGGCAGAGAGCCUGACUGAUGGAGAAUGAAGGUAUGCAGCAAGUAUUGCUCGUCUCUCUCUGGCAACUGUGCUGUUAUGAUUUGUGUCUGUCAUUCACAAAUCCUUUACUUUCUUUUUCAAAUGUACCUUGGUAAUCUUAAAGAAGCACAGAUGCAACUGAAAUUCUAGGCAAAAUUGCACUAAACGUAUCACCCCUUUUGUUCUUUUCUACUACUGGUAUGUGAUUUAUCCUUUGCUUUUCAUUUCAGGUCUGCUGUUUUGUUGUUGGAGUAUAUUUUCUAGUCUGCAUUAUAAGAAAACCCAUACAUGAAGAAAGGAAGAAAGAAGUAGAUACAAAACAAACCACAGGCAUGGCCAUUGAUUUUUCUGGAGAAUGGAUGACCUGCCUUCUUCAGGUCUCCAGACCUGCUUCAAAAUAUGCAAGCUUGUAGUCAUAGGCGUCAGGGCACUACUUACAGCUGGCAAGUGUGCUGCACUGUGUGUUACUGUCACUUGGGGGACACUCCAUCUCACACAAACCUACCUCAGCUAGGGUUUUCCCAUCCCAGUCACCAUGAGAGAAGGCUGGUGAUUCUUCCUGCAACUGCAAAAUGUUGUUGCAGUUGCAGGCUGCAAAUGUCAUUUUGCCUGUGUUCCUUGCCACAGCCCAGCAGCAAAAGCAAGGGGAGAAGGGAAGUUGGCUGCAGCACUGAGUGGCAAGCCCAAUGUCAAUGACAAAAGAGGAGGACCAGAUUUAGUGAGCAUUCCUUGAGCUGCCCUCCUAAUACUGAUAGGCAAGUAUCUUCAGCACUCCCUAAGCCUAGGAGCACCGGGUCCCUUUCCUUGGAACAUGCCUGUUGGCAAAAGCACCCUGAAAAUGUCUCAUUCUGCCUCAGACUCUCUCACCUGCAGCCCCUUUAUGGAGUCAAGCAGUUCUAGUUCAUCCACCAUCUAUUUUGACACCCAAGGAUCUUCCCAGCCCUGCAAAGUGCACAGCUUUGAAGCUGGUAGGUUUUGUGGAGUAGCAGCAUGUGUUACUGUGACUAUUGCGUGGGGCAAGAUGGGUCACCCGUAUGUUGGUAUCUGUAGCAUUAUUUUUGUGUCUAUGAAAGCUAUUAAUUAAGUCUUUUCCUUAAAUGUCUCAGAUGGGACUUCCCAGAAAUUGUCUUUGGGCUGAUGCUGAUUGCAUCAGCCAGCACAUGUACAGGGAGCAGCUUAGCUGUGUGCACCACUGAGCAGCCCAGAUGAUGGCUGCAGUGCAGAAGGAGUGCUGGGGGAGGCACAGCUCUGAAAUGCUGUGGAUCCCAGUGGCUGUGCCUGCUAUGGAGACAUCCAGAGAGGACCUUCUUUCAGGAGGAGCGCACUUCAUCAGAUGAGCAGGAGGAUCCAUCUCCACUUCAGCUGUCAGCCGAGGAGCAGUGAAUCAGUAAGCUGAAUAACAAACCUACAAAACCUAGCUUUUUUUCUGCUGAAGAGUUCUAGAAGAAUGUGAAGCUUGCACCACUCAACUAACUGCAGUGCAAAUCUUUGUAAGUCAGCACUGAGGCUGAGAAAUGGAAGUCAGCAGGUGUAGCUAAGCCUUGUGAAAGGCUUCAGAGGUAAUCCGUUGACCUACUGAUUAAUGUCAAGCUCUUUUACCAAACAAUCUAUUUGAGAACUGUGUUUGUGUAAUUAUCGUUUAUGUUCCUUUAUGGUCUGCAAAAUGUUUGGAAUAGCAAAUACUUUCCAGAAGACUGGAAAUGAUUUUGAGGUCUGAUGCCUCUACUGGCAAUCUUUGAAAGAGCCUGCAAGAGUGUGGUUCAGAUGAUACAGUCAGCCCCAAGUACUUCAGUUGCCUUGCACUGAGGAGCUGAUAAUGACAGCUAUUGGACAUACUGUUGGGCUGGAUAAAACUUGGACAAAUUGUGUCCCUGUGUCUUCAACAGCUUCUGGAUCCUGGGGCUGUCUGUGUUCUCCAGAAGAGCUCCAUACAGAGGAGUCACUUUCAUCAUCUUGAUUUGUGCAGCAUUUUCCCAGUAGAGGUGCAGAUCUUUUUCCAAUAACAACAGCUUGCAAAAAUUACUUCUUGUGGAAGCUCUAGAAAUAAUCAACAGCUCUCCACAGUCCGAGGCCAUAGGCAGGAGAGGGAAGGAGCAGUGCACUGCUACACUUUAUCUUGAUUUGCUUUUAUUUUGUACAUGGCUCCAAAGGAUAUCCUUAAGUUUUUCCUGUCAUUUUGUCUCUGACAGCUACUCCAAAGCCAGCAAAUAUGCCUAGCAAGCAUCAAAUGCCCUGAAAACCAAUGAGUUUUAUCUUCAACCCAGAUCUGGAGCAACAGUAGCAAAAAAAUGCUGGUUUUCUAGAUUUGAUCAGGUGUGUGGCAGAUGACUACUUUCCCCAGUAUGGCUGAUAAGACACCUUUAUGACUCCACACCCAGGAAGAGCAGCAACAACAGGUUUGGAUGACAGCAAGUAACUUUUUCUCAUCACUUAGCCACAUAGAUACUAGCCAGCAUUAAUCAUCUGGAGCACACAGAAAGCCUCAUGGAGCUUCAGAGGAGAGGUGUCAAUACUCCUCAUGCUUCAGAGGUACCUCAGCAGCGUCCUCCUAGAAAACAUGGUGAAAUGAGUAGUUUAAUUCUUGGUCAAUAGCAUGUUGCUACUGAAGAGGAGAUUUCUUCCAACCUUGAAUCUGCUCUUUUCAUUUUCUCUCAGCCAACAGUAUCAAUCACCUUACUGGGCUCUGCCCUUGCUGUACUGGUGAGGGACUUUUUCCCAGCAUUCAGUUAAAGCCCAUUGUUCCCUGGGAGCACAAGCCUGCCGGACUUCAUCACUCCGAUCACUAUCAGUCCUUGCUGGACGCUGCAUUCCUUUGGGAUAAAGCUUUAGAAGAGCUUUUGUGUGAGCCAUCAAUGAGGCAAACAGCUCUGACAGCCCCUAGAGCUGGGCUUCGUUUGGCUUCAUCCAGAGUUUGGCGUCACUCAGCCUAAUCCAGACACGUUUUAGUGAGGCGGUAACUGCUUUCCUUUUCCUUACUUGUUUGUGAGGACAUUCUGCAGCUUCUUUAUUUUUUGUUAAUUCUUGCAAAAGCUCUCGUGAGCAGAAUCAAGCACAUGAUCCUGAACUUAAUCUUUAAAUGGGGUACGGGGUUUUUCUGGUAUUUAUGUAUUUUAAACACAGUUUUAACUCUCCGGCAGGAGUGGACCACCACACUAGAAACUAGUGGGUCCAAAGCCGUGACUGGGCUGAGUGGGAUAAGGCUUGCCUUGCCAGGAGGAUGUGGACCUUGUAGCAGCAAACACAGGGGAGGUGGGAGACUUUUGGAGGAGCAGUGGGGAGGGUCAGGUGGAUGGUCCCAUGUCCCCCAGCACUGCAUCCAUGGGGAAUGAGUCCACAAAGGAAAACAGGUUUGUGCCAGCUGGGGUUCCGUGCCCAGUGGAAAAUGGAGCUCAGCUCUCAUGGAGUGCUUCUGGUGCCUGGCACAGUGUGCAGCUCUUCUCAGUUGACCUGCAGCAGCCAAAGUGCUCCCUAAUGCAGCUGUACUGGGGGUUAGCAGUAAAUGCACUUGCGUUGCAUUAAAAUUACUUUGUCAAAUAUA
This is a long non-coding RNA of Neopsephotus bourkii (Bourke's parrot), 6892 nucleotides long. RefSeq lists it as uncharacterized. The transcript is spliced from 2 exons. NCBI's taxonomy places the organism in Eukaryota, Metazoa, Chordata, Aves, Psittaciformes, Psittacidae. The record is from RefSeq and is a predicted model, not a curated record.